GCGGACGUGGCUCAGUUGGUAGAGCAUCACCUUGCCAAGGUGAGGGUCGCGGGUUCGAGUCCCGUCGUCCGCUCCG
RNAcentral lists this transfer RNA (76 nucleotides) under Brachybacterium faecium. RNAcentral describes it as "tRNA-Gly". It matches the Rfam family "tRNA". Rfam says of the family: Transfer RNA (tRNA) molecules are approximately 80 nucleotides in length. Lineage: Bacteria; Bacillati; Actinomycetota; Actinomycetes; Micrococcales; Dermabacteraceae. The record is from RNAcentral. RNAcentral also lists the same sequence under 2 other names.